AGCAGUCGCCACGGUAAUACAGAGGGUGCGAGCGUUAAUCGGAUUUACUGGGCGUAAAGCGUGCGUAGGCGGCUUUUUAAGUCGGAUGUGAAAUCCCUGAGCUUAACUUAGGAAUUGCAUUCGAUACUGGGAAGCUAGAGUAUGGGAGAGGAUGGUAGAAUUCCAGGUGUAGCGGUGAAAUGCGUAGAGAUCUGGAGGAAUACCGAUGGCGAAGGCAGCCAUCUGGCCUAAUACUGACGCUGAGGUACGAAAGCAUGGGGAGCAAACAGGAUUAGAUACCCCCUAGUCCCUGUCUCUUAUACA
This 303-nucleotide ribosomal RNA is filed under the name uncultured bacterium. RNAcentral's name for it is "partial 16S ribosomal RNA". It matches the Rfam family "Bacterial small subunit ribosomal RNA", at positions 507 to 808 of the family's 1533-position model. The record is from RNAcentral.